UAGGGAAUCUUCCGCAAUGGACGCAAGUCUGACGGAGCAACGCCGCGUGAGUGAAGAAGGAUUUCGGUUCGUAAAACUCUGUUGUUAGAGAAGAACAGCGCAUAGAGUAACUGUUAUGCGUGUGACGGUAUCUAACCAGAAAGCCACGGCUAACUACGUGCCAGCAGCCGCGGUAAUACGUAGGUGGCAAGCGUUGUCCGGAUUUAUUGGGCGUAAAGCGAGCGCAGGCGGUCAAUUAAGUCUGAUGUGAAAGCCCCCGGCUCAACCGGGGAGGGUCAUUGGAAACUGGUUGACUUGAGUGCAGAAGAGGAGAGUGGAAUUCCAUGUGUAGCGGUGAAAUGCGUAGAUAUAUGGAGGAACACCAGUGGCGAAGGCGACUCUCUGGUCUGUAACUGGCGCUGAGGUUCGAAAGCGUGGGUAGCAAACAGG
This 429-nucleotide ribosomal RNA is filed under the name Bacteroidota bacterium. Its description in RNAcentral is "Bacteroidetes bacterium partial 16S ribosomal RNA". It matches the Rfam family "Bacterial small subunit ribosomal RNA", at positions 355 to 776 of the family's 1533-position model. Lineage: Bacteria; Pseudomonadati; Bacteroidota. The record is from RNAcentral.